This 194-nucleotide long non-coding RNA is filed under the name Pongo abelii (Sumatran orangutan). RNAcentral describes it as "lincRNA". The record is from RNAcentral. Lineage: Eukaryota; Metazoa; Chordata; Mammalia; Primates; Hominidae.
GUUUUAGAUGUACAAUACCACCCAUGUCCUCUUUUCAUGUAGGACAGUUGCCUUCAUCCAUCUGUGAUUGUGAAAGUCUUUACUGUCAGCUAGGUGUGCAUAUGAGUGUCACAAUUUCCUCUGUGUGUUAGGCCCUGUUAUGACACUCCCUAUACAACCCAAAGGUGUUACAAAAUAAUUGUGAGUGUUGUAAU